GAAGUCCCGGAAAAAAAGUAGAUGAAAAACGUUCCUCUCAAGAACGUGUCUUUCUCCCUUUUCCUUUUUUUUAUAAAAAAAUUCACCCUCUUAUUUUCAAAAAUAAAUGCCAGUUUUUUACCACAAAUGAUGCACACCUGCCACAUUUUCAUUAGUCUCUUUUUUCAAUUGAUGCCCCUUGUACAAUUUUUUGAAAUCCAACUUAUCUGCCAACGUAAAUGUAUUGUGGUAACAAAAAAAAGAGAGAGACUACUAUUCCAAUAGUGCUCUCAUGCGUGUCCCCCUGGUGGUCCUCAAAAUUGUUUUUUCAAACCCACAACUGGAUAUUUGAGAGAGGAUCCAAUGUGAGGAUUAUGAAUAAGUGAUUGCCAAGUGUCACAUGCUUGUUGGCAAAUUAAAAAUAUUUUUUCCAACCUUUUUAUUGAUUAAAUAAAAUUAUAAAAUAUAACUUUGAAAAAUUAAAUUAAAAUAAAAAUAAAAACGAAAAUUCAAACCAAAUGAACGAUUAAUUCUAAAUAAUUAUGUCGAUCAUCUUGACUAAAAAAUAAAAAUAAACGGAUAAAAAAGCGAAUAAAAAUUUGACACAAAAAUG
This 592-nucleotide long non-coding RNA is filed under the name Lathyrus oleraceus (garden pea). Its description in RNAcentral is "Pisum sativum (pea) long non-coding RNA (PSAT_LNC000287)". The record is from RNAcentral. Lineage: Eukaryota; Viridiplantae; Streptophyta; Magnoliopsida; Fabales; Fabaceae.